ACGAACGCUGGCGGCAUGCCUAACACAUGCAAGUCGAACGAACUCUUCGGAGUUAGUGGCGCACGGGUGCGUAACGCGUGGGAAUCUGCCCCUUGGUUCGGAAUAACAGUUAGAAAUGACUGCUAAUACCGGAUGAUGUCUUCGGACCAAAGAUUUAUCGCCAAGGGAUGAGCCCGCGUAGGAUUAGGUAGUUGGUGGGGUAAAGGCCUACCAAGCCGACGAUCCUUAGCUGGUCUGAGAGGAUGAUCAGCCACACUGGGACUGAGACACGGCCCAGACUCCUACGGGAGGCAGCAGUGGGGAAUAUUGGACAAUGGGGGAAACCCUGAUCCAGCAAUGCCGCGUGAGUGAUGAAGGCCUUAGGGUCGUAAAGCUCUUUUAUAUGUCAAGAAAAUGACGGUAGCAUAUGAAUAAGCACCGGCUAACUCCGU
RNAcentral lists this ribosomal RNA (431 nucleotides) under uncultured bacterium. RNAcentral describes it as "bacterial SSU rRNA". It matches the Rfam family "Bacterial small subunit ribosomal RNA", at positions 29 to 506 of the family's 1533-position model. The record is from RNAcentral.